This 225-nucleotide ribosomal RNA is filed under the name uncultured Methylophilus sp. RNAcentral's name for it is "partial 16S ribosomal RNA". It matches the Rfam family "Bacterial small subunit ribosomal RNA", at positions 568 to 792 of the family's 1533-position model. Lineage: Bacteria; Pseudomonadati; Pseudomonadota; Betaproteobacteria; Nitrosomonadales; Methylophilaceae. The record is from RNAcentral.
CGCGUAGGCGGUUUACACAGUCAGAUGUGAAAUCCCCGAGCUCAACUUGGGAACUGCGUUUGAAACUAUCAAGCUAGAAUAUGUCAGAGGGGGGUAGAAUUCCACGUGUAGCAGUGAAAUGCGUAGAGAUGUGGAGGAAUACCAAUGGCGAAGGCAGCCCCCUGGGAUAAUAUUGACGCUCAUGCACGAAAGCGUGGGGAGCAAACAGGAUUAGAUACCCUGGUA